GCUGGGCGUGGUGGCGGGCGCCUGUAGUCCCAGCUACUUGGGAGGCUGAGGCAGGAGAAUGGUGUGAGCCCGGGAGGCGGAGCUUCCAGUGAGCCGAGAUUGCACUCCAGCCUGGGUGACAGAGUGAGGCUCCAUCUGGAAAAAAAAAAAAAAAGAAAAAAGUUAAAAUUUUUUUUUUUGAGUCUCGCACUCUUGCCCAGGCUGGAGUUUAGUGGCGCCAUCUCGGCUCACUGCAAGCUCCACCUCCCAGGUUCACGCCAUUCUCCUGCCUCAG
RNAcentral lists this non-coding RNA (274 nucleotides) under Macaca fascicularis (crab-eating macaque). The record is from RNAcentral. Lineage: Eukaryota; Metazoa; Chordata; Mammalia; Primates; Cercopithecidae.